RNAcentral lists this ribosomal RNA (269 nucleotides) under uncultured Planctomycetales bacterium. Its description in RNAcentral is "partial 16S ribosomal RNA". It matches the Rfam family "Bacterial small subunit ribosomal RNA", at positions 565 to 832 of the family's 1533-position model. The record is from RNAcentral. Lineage: Bacteria; Pseudomonadati; Planctomycetota; Planctomycetia; Planctomycetales.
GAGCACGUAGGUGGGUUUGUAAGUCAGAUGUGAAAGCCUUCUGUUCAACGGAAGAAUUGCAUCUGAAACUGCGAGUCUUGAGUGUAGGAGGGGAGAAUGGAACUUCUGGUGGAGCGGUGAAAUGCGUAGAUAUCAGAAGGAACUCCGGCGGCGAAAGCGAUUCUCCGGCCUAUUACUGACACUCAGUGUGCGAAAGCUAGGGGAGCAAACGGGAUUAGAUACCCCGGUAGUCCUAGCCGUAAACGAUGGGCACUAAGUAGAGGGGUUUU